UGGGAUAUGGUGUAAUUGGCAGCACUACAGAUUCUGAUUCUGUCAGUCAAGGUUCGAGUCCUUGUAUCCCAGCGA
Molecule: transfer RNA, 75 nt
Filed under: Nocardioides marmorisolisilvae
Lineage: Bacteria; Bacillati; Actinomycetota; Actinomycetes; Propionibacteriales; Nocardioidaceae
Description: Marmoricola solisilvae tRNA-Gln
Rfam family: tRNA
About the family: Transfer RNA (tRNA) molecules are approximately 80 nucleotides in length.
Source: RNAcentral